GGAGUUAGCCGGUGCUUCUUCUGUGAGUGAUGUCCUUCCUGCCGGCUAUUAACCCGCAGGCCUUCUUCCUCACUGAAAGUGCUUUACAACCCGAAGGCCUUCUUCACACACGCGGCAUGGCUGGAUCAGGGUUGCCCCCAUUGUCCAAUAUUCCCCACUGCUGCCUCCCGUAGGAGUCUGGGCCGUGUCUCAGUCCCAGUGUGGCUGAUCAUCCUCUCAGACCAGCUACGGAUCGUCGCCUUGGUGAGCCGUUACCUCACCAACCAGCUAAUCCGACAUAGGCUCAUCCGAUAGCGCGAGGCCCGAAGGUCCCCCGCUUUCCCCCGUAGGUCGUAUGCGGUAUUAGCCUGGGUUUCCCCAGGUUAUCCCCCACUACCGGGCAGAUUCCUAUGCAUUACUCACCCGUCCGCCGCUCGCCACCAGGGAGCAAGCUCCCCGUGCUGCCGCUCGACUUGCAUGUGUUAGGCCUGCCGCCAGCGUUCAAUCUGAGCCAGGAUCAAACUCUGA
RNAcentral lists this ribosomal RNA (507 nucleotides) under uncultured bacterium. RNAcentral describes it as "partial 16S ribosomal RNA". The record is from RNAcentral.